This 2737-nucleotide ribosomal RNA is filed under the name Citrobacter braakii. Its description in RNAcentral is "partial 23S ribosomal RNA". It matches the Rfam family "Bacterial large subunit ribosomal RNA". Lineage: Bacteria; Pseudomonadati; Pseudomonadota; Gammaproteobacteria; Enterobacterales; Enterobacteriaceae. The record is from RNAcentral.
GGGUUGUGAGGUUAAGCGACUAAGCGUACACGGUGGAUGCCCUGGCAGUCAGAGGCGAUGAAGGACGUGCUAAUCUGCGAUAAGCGUCGGUAAGGUGAUAUGAACCGUUAUAACCGGCGAUUUCCGAAUGGGGAAACCCAGUGUGAUUCGUCACACUAUCAUUACGUGAAUACAUAGCGUAAUGAAGCGAACCGGGGGAACUGAAACAUCUAAGUACCCCGAGGAAAAGAAAUCAACCGAGAUUCCCCCAGUAGCGGCGAGCGAACGGGGAGCAGCCCAGAGUCUGAAUCAGCAUGUGUGGUAGUGGAACGGUCUGGAAAGUCCGACGGUACAGGGUGAUAGUCCCGUACACAAAAGUGCAUGUGUUGUGAACUCGAAGAGUAGGGCGGGACACGUGGUAUCCUGUCUGAAUAUGGGGGGACCAUCCUCCAAGGCUAAAUACUCCUGACUGACCGAUAGUGAACCAGUACCGUGAGGGAAAGGCGAAAAGAACCCCGGCGAGGGGAGUGAAAAAGAACCUGAAACCGUGUACGUACAAGCAGUGGGAGCCUCUUUAUGGGGUGACUGCGUACCUUUUGUAUAAUGGGUCAGCGACUUAUAUUCUGUAGCAAGGUUAACCGAAUAGGGGAGCCGAAGGGAAACCGAGUCUUAACUGGGCGUUAAGUUGCAGGGUAUAGACCCGAAACCCGGUGAUCUAGCCAUGGGCAGGUUGAAGGUUGGGUAACACUAACUGGAGGACCGAACCGACUAAUGUUGAAAAAUUAGCGGAUGACUUGUGGCUGGGGGUGAAAGGCCAAUCAAACCGGGAGAUAGCUGGUUCUCCCCGAAAGCUAUUUAGGUAGCGCCUCGUGAACUCAUCUUCGGGGGUAGAGCACUGUUUCGGCUAGGGGGUCAUCCCGACUUACCAACCCGAUGCAAACUGCGAAUACCGAAGAAUGUUAUCACGGGAGACACACGGCGGGUGCUAACGUCCGUCGUGAAGAGGGAAACAACCCAGACCGCCAGCUAAGGUCCCAAAGUCAUGGUUAAGUGGGAAACGAUGUGGGAAGGCACAGACAGCCAGGAUGUUGGCUUAGAAGCAGCCAUCAUUUAAAGAAAGCGUAAUAGCUCACUGGUCGAGUCGGCCUGCGCGGAAGAUGUAACGGGGCUAAACCAUGCACCGAAGCUGCGGCAGCGACACUAUGUGUUGUUGGGUAGGGGAGCGUUCUGUAAGCCGUUGAAGGUGUGNNNNNNNNNNNNNNNNNNNNNNNNNNNNNNNNNNNNNNNNNNNNNNNNNNNNNNNNNNNNNNNNNNNNNNNNNNNNNNNNNNNNNNNNNNNNNNNUGCUAACGCUGAGGUGUGAUGACGAGGCACUACGGUGCUGAAGUAACAAAUGCCCUGCUUCCAGGAAAAGCCUCUAAGCAUCAGGUAACACAAAAUCGUACCCCAAACCGACACAGGUGGUCAGGUAGAGAAUACCAAGGCGCUUGAGAGAACUCGGGUGAAGGAACUAGGCAAAAUGGUGCCGUAACUUCGGGAGAAGGCACGCUGAUAUGUAGGUGAAGUGAUUUACUCAUGGAGCUGAAAUCAGUCGAAGAUACCAGCUGGCUGCAACUGUUUAUUAAAAACACAGCACUGUGCAAACACGAAAGUGGACGUAUACGGUGUGACGCCUGCCCGGUGCCGGAAGGUUAAUUGAUGGGGUUAUCCGUAAGGAGAAGCUCUUGAUCGAAGCCCCGGUAAACGGCGGCCGUAACUAUAACGGUCCUAAGGUAGCGAAAUUCCUUGUCGGGUAAGUUCCGACCUGCACGAAUGGCGUAAUGAUGGCCAGGCUGUCUCCACCCGAGACUCAGUGAAAUUGAACUCGCUGUGAAGAUGCAGUGUACCCGCGGCAAGACGGAAAGACCCCGUGAACCUUUACUAUAGCUUGACACUGAACACUGGUCCUUGAUGUGUAGGAUAGGUGGGAGGCUUUGAAGUGUGGACGCCAGUCUGCAUGGAGCCAACCUUGAAAUACCACCCUUUAAUGGCUGGUGUUCUAACGUAGACCCGUAAUCCGGGUUGCGGACAGUGUCUGGUGGGUAGUUUGACUGGGGCGGUCUCCUCCUAAAGAGUAACGGAGGAGCACGAAGGUUAGCUAAUCCUGGUCGGACAUCAGGAGGUUAGUGCAAAGGCAUAAGCUAGCUUGACUGCGAGAGUGACGGCUCGAGCAGGUGCGAAAGCAGGUCUUAGUGAUCCGGUGGUUCUGAAUGGAAGGGCCAUCGCUCAACGGAUAAAAGGUACUCCGGGGAUAACAGGCUGAUACCGCCCAAGAGUUCAUAUCGACGGCGGUGUUUGGCACCUCGAUGUCGGCUCAUCACAUCCUGGGGCUGAAGUAGGUCCCAAGGGUAUGGCUGUUCGCCAUUUAAAGUGGUACGCGAGCUGGGUUUAGAACGUCGUGAGACAGUUCGGUCCCUAUCUGCCGUGGGCGCUGGAGAAUUGAGGGGGGCUGCUCCUAGUACGAGAGGACCGGAGUGGACGCAUCACUGGUGUUCGGGUUGUCAUGCCAAUGGCAUUGCCCGGUAGCUAAAUGCGGAAGAGAUAAGUGCUGAAAGCAUCUAAGCACGAAACUUGCCCCGAGAUGAGUUCUCCCUGACCCUUUAAGGGUCCUGAAGGAACGUUGAAGACGACGACGUUGAUAGGUCGGGUGUGUAAGCGUAGCGAUACGUUGAGCUAACCGAUACUAAUGAACCGUGAGGCUUAACCUUACAACGCCGAAG